AAAUUUUAAAAUUCAAGUCCAAUUGUUAAUAUUGUUAACUUUUUUUUGCUAAAUUCAAAUUAAUUACCACACCUUUUUUACCAAGUGAGUGGGUUUUUUUUAUUUUUUUUCAAAAUACGAAAACAACAAAAUUAACAAAAAAAAUAAAAAUAUUAAUAGUUAGACCUAAAAUUUAAAAUCUGAAAAAUAAAAGGACUAAAUUUAAAAAAGAGUAAAUUAUUUUCUUUUCUUUUCUUUUUUUUUUUGCAAAAAGUGACUGAUAUCCAUUAAAAGGCACACGGCUCAAGGUGGUGUAAACAAAGUCUCAACAAAUAGGGAAAAAUGAAAAGACAAAACGCAACAAUCCAACAGCCAAGCCAUAAAACCGCACAUAGAAAACAACAAAACCGAUAAAUGCAAAAGAUAAAACCAACCCAUGCCAAAACAAAACGACUCAAAAACAAAAAUAUCAUCCAACACCUAUCUUCUCUUCUUGUAAAAAACGUGACUGAGAUGAGCAAACUGAAGAAAAUUAAAAAGCUUUGAACCCAUCAAUGGAGAUUCUUUGAACCUUCUCCAUAUUCAAAGCGGUUUUAAAAAUAAGCUUGGCGAUUCUAGAUCCAAGCCAUCCAAUCCUUAUCCGCCAUCGUCCUCAUCGAUUCUAGAGCUCCAUAUACCUAGACGCAAAGGAUUUGUCGUCUCCUUCCUUCCAAAGCCAAGGUGUGAGCCGCUCUAUUAACUGUUCAAGAAACAAAUAGGUAAGAGACUUCUUCAAAGUUAUUUUCAAGGGUACGAAUAUGGUGCGUAAUCAAUCUGAGAAUUGAUUUAUCUUCCCCUUUUAUCUUGAGUUUUUUUAUUACCGAUAGAGAGUCCCCUUCCAAGAGAAGACACCAAAAACCCAUUUUAGACGCAAAAAUCAUAGCCCUUUCGCAUGCCCUUACUUUAGCCACAAAACCGUCGACAACAUCUUCAAAAAGAUAAGUACAUGCCCUUAUAAUUUCAUCUUCAGAAUUUCUAGCUAAUACUGUUGCAUUAGAGGUUCUAGAGUCACUUUGAAAGGACGUGUCAAAAUUUAGCUUAAUAAUACCGAUGUCUGGGGACUCCAUAGCUCAUUCAACAGCAAUCUAGAAAAAACCUAGAGUUUCUCAUGGCUUGAACUUAUCUCUUGACUGUAGCCUCGAAUGAAUUCUAACAGUUCCUGCAAAGAAAACUUAACACCUUCAUGAAUAAGUUUGUUUCUUUGAGACCAUAGGGCCCAUAAAGAAAUAGCAAUAAUAUGUCUGUUGUGUUCAUUUGCUGCAGAGAAAGUGUUAACAAAUCGAGUUUUGCAACUUGAGGUACACCCGACUGGAGCAAACGUGAUUUGAAGAGAAACCCAAACUUACUGUAAUUUUCCACAAGAUCACAUCAAAUGGUCAGAGUCCUCUGAAGCCUCCUUGCAAAGAGGAUAGACAACAUCCACACUUAAAGUCCUUUGAAUAAGAUUACAAAAAUGAGGCACAAGAUUAUCAAACAACCCCCAUAUGAUUUUUAUUUUUUUUUCUAAAAAAAGAAUAAAUUCUUAAUUUCUAAAAAGUACAAGAAUUAUAAGUACAUUAUAACCUAUACUUAAAUCCAUUCGAAUUUAUAUAUAUUUUUAAAUGUUUACCACAACAAUUGUAGUAAGUUAAGAUUGCUCUUUGCUAGAAAAUAAAAUCAAUUAGCUUGAAUAUUAAAAUUGAAGUUUAAUACGAUCAAUCAUUUACCAUAGUAACAAAAAUAUUUAUAUUGUGGUGAAAAAACUUAAGUUGAAUCCUUAAUAACUCCACCCUUAUCUCAUUAUAAAAAAAUUGAAAUUUAAAAACAUUGCUUUUAAUCAAAUGUCGUAUCCCAUGGAGUGGGCCCCUUUUUUCUGUUAACAACGUGGGCUGUUGUUUUAACCGUAUGUGCCAAACAGUAACGAGGUUGAUAAGAAAUAUAAAUAAAAAAGGGACGGUUAAGAUGGAGCGAGUGUGACACAUUUUCAUUGACAGAAGGCCCAUCUUACGGACAAAACGGUGCAUCCAAUUAUCUACUUUUUUUGGAAUCACCGCCCAGCUGACAAAACGUGGCAACAGGACUUGCUUUAUGAUUUUGCCAAAUGUCUUCGCCUAUGAUAAGUUCUUAUGUUGUGGAUUGAUUGCCUUUUUGGCUCUUUCUACGUAAGUUUGCUUUGACUUCAACUUAUUUAUAUAUAAAUUAUUGAUCCAAUAAAGUAUUAAAACUAUCCAUCUGUACAUUAAUACAAAGAAUAGUGGAAUGAUGCGUGUUCAUUAAAUUUAUAUUUAAAAAUAUGUGAGAUUUUAUUUGCCUCGCUUGCACACUCUUUAUAUGUUGAAUUAUUUUCUUAUACAUCUUAUAUUUUAUAUUUAUUAUGUGAAAGGAAAAAAAAAUAUUAGUGAUAAAAAUUUAUAUUUUACGUUAGAGAAAAACAAUUUUAAAUGAUGAUUUACAGUUUUCCUUACAUGGGAAUUGGGAUUGGUAGUGUUUUAGGGGAGUGAGUGGUUAAUUAAUAAAAGUAGUUAUUUAUGACAGUAAAAUUUUAUGUUUAUUAUUGAUAAAAAUAAGUUUAACGUAAAAAAAAAGGAAAUAAAUGAUUUAUAGUUUUUU
RNAcentral lists this long non-coding RNA (2607 nucleotides) under Gossypium barbadense (sea-island cotton). RNAcentral's name for it is "long non-coding RNA (GBAR_LNC000514)". The record is from RNAcentral. Lineage: Eukaryota; Viridiplantae; Streptophyta; Magnoliopsida; Malvales; Malvaceae.